This 5732-nucleotide long non-coding RNA is filed under the name Sus scrofa (pig). Its description in RNAcentral is "lncRNA (ENSSSCG00000058634.1)". The record is from RNAcentral. Lineage: Eukaryota; Metazoa; Chordata; Mammalia; Artiodactyla; Suidae.
UCUCAUAUAAAACUGCCAAUAUUUUAUGAGAAAAAUGAUGGCAAAAUUUAAACACUGUAGAUGAAAGAAUUUGCAUCCAAUCAUUCCUUCUUCCAGGAAGUGUAUAUUCUUCUCAGUUGCCUCGAACUUUCCACUCCUUGCUUGGCAUUUGUUUGUUUUAAUGCUCUAAUUACUAGUUCUUAGUCUGCAUUUCAAGACCUUUAAAUCUCACUAAUUAUGUCCUUCCUUUAGGUAUGUUGUCUUCCUGCCUUGUUAUUGCAAGAAUAGCUUUCUCCUUUUCAAAUCUGAGCUGUGUUUGUGCACAGGUGUCCCGACAACAAUCUGCCUUCUCUUCGUUCCUGGAAUAAUGGUGUUUCAUUCUGAUGUCUUUGGCAGAAAGAGCCACUUACAUUCUGGAACCCAACCUGAAGAGAGAAUCUCUCUUGAGAUAUUUUCUGUGUUACACCAUUAAACAUCCUGUUAGCAAAAGGGCUUUAGGAACAUUAUUUUCCAAUUUACUCACUCGCAAAGUCAUUACGGCAAAUGAAAACAUCAACAUGAGUUUUCAGCGCAUGGUUUCUUCUCACAGACAUGAAGGGUCUGGAUAUAGAGUACCCUCAGGGGUUUGGGCAGUGCUCAGGACAUCAAAACUUGGAGUUUAGCAGCUUGAAACUGGGAGAUCCAAAUGUCAGUGGAAUAUGCCCAGGUAGACAAUCAGGUUUCAAAUCCAUAGCCCAAAUGAGCCGAGGCAAAAUGACAGUUGCCAGUUUAAAAACAUGCAAGAAGAUUUAAUGAUGGGGAAUUUCCAAGCAGACAGUGGUGGCAAAAUUGUGAGCUCAAGGCAGAAUGUGGAAAAAAUAACACAUAGCUCUGGGGGUUUGUUAUCUGAUUCAAAAAUAUUUGGGCCUGGGACAUCUAGAAGGCUUUAUGGGUGAGCGGCAGAACAGACAUUGUUUUAGCUUUGUUUUUCUUUUUGACUCCUUAAGCAAGGAAACCAUGUCAAGAGGAAAAUAUCAGGGUGAGACCUAUGCUUUGAGAGAUUAAAUUCUGAUUUGGCAAGCCAAUUGGAAAGUGCAUUUCUGUAAUAUGGGUAAAGUCAAUGUUAAAAUAUGAUUUAUCUGUUCCUAACGAAUGACUCUUGGUAAAUUUAAGAUAUGUGAGUAUUCUGUUACCUUGUAGCUGUUUAUUCUUCAUUUGCAAACAUAUAUUUAAGCAGUGAUGACUGGAAGGAUUUGUAUGUCUUCCAAAAUAUCUUGAUAUUUCUCAAAUGUAACUAACAUCUUGUGAAAAGAAGGAUUUGGUGAUUAUUGUACCUAUAUUAAUAUCACGGGACAUAAUAAUUUUUGUCUCUUCAGGGCACAGUUAGUCUAAUUUCUUGGAUUCCUAUGUUAACACAAAAAGUUCACCCCUUUCCUGAAUGUCUCAGAAAGAUUUUUAAAAAUUUGUUGGUAUUUUAAAAUAUAUACCAUUCAUGGAAUAUUUACAUUUGAAUAACAAAAUUUAGCCUUCUAGACUCAUGUUAAAAAAACAGCAGUCUUUGGAUCAAAGAUGUUGAGAAAAUAAUUUAUAAAACAUAUUUCUUUUUGGCCUAACGAGAAGUAGAAAAGAUUUAGCCACCAUAAAUAUAUUCUUUAAGCCUACAUAUUCAAGAAUAAGAACUUUUUUCUAAUUUAAAUUUUAAUUCAUUCUAAAAUUGUAUUUUAUUUCUGAACCAGAAGAAAAUAUUUCUAGUUAGUUCUGAAUUAUCCUUGAAAGACUUGUUCUCCUCACUACGUUCUCAAUAAUUUUGCCACACUCUUAUGUCUUCCCAUCCUGCUUUUUGUGGGAACGUAGAAAGCUAUGGAGUCUACCAGAUGAGACUCCUUUAAUGGUCUGUGGAAGAAUGGAAGUAGUCCUUUCCCUCUAGGAUAUGAGCAAGCUGCAGCUCUAGGAGGCCCAUGUUCUGACAGCUGAAGAAGCAAGAGGCCAAGAUCCAAAUUAGAUAUCAAGUGAAAAUGACACACCUGGCAAGAUGGUGCUAAAAGUGCCCACUGAGCAAUGGAGUCAGCCAUCAGAAAAUAGUGAUGUGACUGGAAACAGGAGUGUUUAACUUUUUUUUUUUUUUUCUUUUUAUGGUCACAGCUGCAGCGUAUGGAAGUUCCUGCGCUAGGGGUUGAAUCCAAGCUGCAGCUGUAGGCCCACACCAUAGCAACACAAGAUCCAAGCCAGAUCCUUAACUCACUGAGCAAGGCCGGGGAUGGACCAUACAUCCUCAAGGACACUAUGUCAAGUACUUAACAUGCUGAGCCACAACAGGAACUCCUGAGGGUUUGACUUUUACUCACCACUAUCUGUACUGCUUUCAGCAGAAAUAAAGACUACACCGGUAUCACUCCCUUAGUUGGUCCCCCACCUCAUCCCCAGAAAAUGUAAGACAGUAUAAGGGAAAAUACAGAGCAUCAUCACAGGGUGUAAAGUGAGAUUUGCGGGUUGACCAGGUAAUGAGGCCACCAGAAGAGAGAAGAGUACUAGGGAACUCUUUUAUACUGCUGAGGACAAGACAGCACUUGAGGGGAUCUCAUGCUGAUAAAGAAGAUAACAGUGGCUUGUGAUUAUUCUAACGGAAACAUAGUAAUGGAGCUUUCCCAAGGAGAUGUAUUCAUUCUUUAUGAAGAAUAUUUCUCUUCCUUGUGCAAGAAGUUCAUAGAGUAAUGCAAAAUACAUACGUGAGCCAUAAAUUUGACCUUUCCAGUCAUUUGUUACAACCAUGAAGUAAUUGUUUGGCAUCAGCACAAAAAAUAAUUCAUGUAUUCGAAACCUAAGUAUAUCCUUCAGAGGACAAGUACACAUUUACUCAAUUUCUGUAGACACAGAUUUUUGUCACAGUAUACUAUAACAACAAACAUAUUUAAUUACUGAAAUUUAUGAAUUGUUUUCUAAUAAUAACACAUAGCUACACAGUUCCUGAGUUUAGUUCUUAUCCAGUGAUGAGUUAUUUAUUAGAUUAAAUCAAGAUGACACAUACUACCUUAAAGAGAGUGGAUAAAAUAGAAAGUGUUCAGACUUUGAAAUAAGUUAAAAUAUCUGUGUUCAAAUGUUUGCUAAACCAUUACUUGAUGACAAAUUAUUUUAUAUAAGGCUUAAUUUCCUCAUUGAUAAAUUUAAGAUUUUUUUUUGCAGAGAUUUGUGAGAUAUAAUUUUAAGUUCCUCACACAUAGCAGGUGCUCAAUACAUACUGCAUGGUAGCCAUGUUUUUUUUUUUUUAAUCGAAGUGUAAUUGAUAUACAAUGUUGUGUUAAUUUCUGCUAUACAGCAAAGUGAUUCAGUUAUACAUAUGUAUAUACUCUUUUAUAUGGUUUGUCAUAGAACAUUGAAUGUAGUUCUCUGUACUAUACAGUAGGACCUCGUUUGUCCCUCCAUAUAUAAAGCUUACAGCUGGUAAUUCCAACCUUCCAUUCCAUCCUUCCCCACCUCCACUUGGCAACAAAAAGUCUGUUCUCCUUGUCCAUGAGUUUGUUUCUGUUUCGUGACAGGUUCACUUGUGUCAUAGUUUAGUUCCUACAUAUGAUUUAUAUCAAAUGGUAUUUGUCUUUCUCUAUAUGACUUACUUCACUUAGUAUGAUAAUCUCUAGUUGCAUCCAUGUUGCUACAAAUGGCAUUACGUCAUUAUUUUUACGGCUGAAUAGUAUUCCAUUGUACAUAUGGAGCACAUCUUCUUAAAUCAUUCAUCUGUUGAUGAACAUUUAUGUUGUUUCCAUGGCUUGGCUAUUAUAAAUUGUGCUGUUAUGAACAUAGGGGCGCAUAUAUCUUUUUGAAUUAUAGUUUUGUCUGGAUAUAUCCCCAAGAGUGGGAUUGCUAGAUCACAUAUAAUUCUAUCUUCUGUAGUUUUCUGAGGAACCUCCAUACUAUUUCCCACAGUGGUUGUACCAAUUUACAUUCCCAACAAGAAUGUAGGAGGGUUCCCUUUUCUCCACAGCCUCUCUAGCAUUCGUUAUUUGUAAAUUUGUUAAUGAUGGCCAUUACGACCAGUAUGAGAUGAUACCUCAUUGUAGUUUUGAUUUGUAUUUCUCUAAUAAUUGGUGAUGUUGAGCAUUUUUUUAUGUGCCUAUUGGCCAUUGAUAUUUCUUUUUUGGAGGAAAGUAUGUCUUUUGGUCUUAUGCCCAUUUUUUGAUUGGGUUGUUUGAUUUUUUUCAUUAUUGAGUUACAUGAACUGUUUAUAUAUUUGAGGAAUAAAGCCUUUGUCAGUUGCAUCAUUUGCAAAUAUUUUCUCACAUUCUGUAGGUUGUCUUUUCAUUUUUGUUUAUGGUUUCCUUUGCUGUACAGAAGCUUAUAAGUUUGAUUAGGUCCCAUUUUUUGAUUUUUGUUUUUAUAUCUAUUGCCUUGGGAACUGGCCUAAGAAAACUUUGGUAGGAUUUACCUCAGAGAAUGUUUUGCUUAUCAUCUCUUCUGGAAGUUUUAUGGUGUCAUGUCUUAUGCUUAAGUCUUUAAGCCAUUUUGGGAGAGGAUUAAGAUGGCUGGGAUAGAAGGACUGCAGCUCAACUUCUCUGCUAAAAACAACAAAACUCACAACUAAAGGCUGCGCAAUCUCCACCCAAAUGGACCGGAAACCUUAAAAAAGAUACCCUACUCCAGAAGAAAAAGAGGAGGCCACAUCAAGAGGUAGGAGGAGCGAUUUCAUGAUAUAAACAACCCCUUACCUCCAGGGUGGGAAGCCCCACAGACUGAAAACUAACUGGUUCACAGAGACUCACCUACAGGAGUGUGAGUUCUGAGCCCCACAUCAAACCUUCACAUGCAGGGACCUGGCACUGGGAGAAAGAGCCCCUGGAGCAUCUUGCAUUGAAGGCCAGUGGGGCUUGUGCUCAGGAGCUCCACACGACUGGGGGAAACGGAGACCCCCAUUCUUAAAAGGUGCACACGGACUUUCACAUGUACUGGGUCCCAGGGCAGAGUGAGGUCUCCAUAGGAAUCUGGGUCAAACCUGACUGCAGUUCUUGGAGGACAUCCUGGGAAAACAGGGGUGAAUGUGGCUUGUUGUGAGAGAGGGACAUUGAAAGCAAAGCUCUCAGGAAUAUUCAGCAGCUUGCCUGUCUCUGGAGGUGGCCAUUUUGGGAAAAUCUGGCCCCACCCCAUCAGUCAGUGCUAAGAAGCCCCAGGGCAAACAACAAUCCAGGUGGGAUCACAGCCCCGCCCCUGAGUAAACAGGCUGCAUAAAGACCCCUCAGGCACACAGCUGCCUCUAAUCCCAUCCAGAGACUAAGCCCCACCCACCAGAGGAAUUAGAAUCAGCUCCACCUACCAGUGGGCAGGCAUCAACCCCUCCCAUCAGGAAGCCUACAGCAAGCCCCCAUGCAGCCAUAAGGGGGGGCAGCCACCGGAAGUAAGAGAGGCUACAACUCAAGUAUCUGUAAAAAGAUCACCACACCAAAAACCUAUAAAAAUGAAAAGACAGAGAGCUAUAACUCAGAUGAGGGAGAAAGGAAAAACCCCAGAAUAUCAGCUAAGUGAUGAGAUUCUCAGCAUCCAGGAAAAAGAUUUUAGAUUGUUGAUAAUAAAGAUGAUACAAGACAUUGGAAAUAAACUGGAGGCAAAGAUGGAUAACUUACAGGAAACACUGACCAAAGAGAUACAAGAUAUAAAACUUAAACAAGAAGAGAUGCAAAAUACACUAACUGAAAUAAAAAAUUCACUAGAAGCAGCUAACAGCAGAAUACAGGAGGCAGAAGAAUGAAUAAACGAGAUGGAGGACAGAUUAGUGGAAAUUAUGGCUGCAG